GACAAUGGUGAUCUAUCUUGAGAGAGAUUCAAAGGGAGAAGGCUUAUGCGCUGACUGUGUGAUCAGAUCUGCAUAAAGAAGGUGCUUCUUGAUUGAUCAUUGAAGGCUUGACAUCCUGUGAAGACUGCUACGUUGUUUGAAGGCUUGGCAUCCUGUGAAGAGUGCUGAAAUUUACCUGUUGUGAUACAGGGGUUACACGUUGAGGAUUGUUCGACGUGGGUUCAGAUUGUAGAAGAGGGGAUUCUUGUUGCAAGUCUGGUUUGGUUAUUGUAGCUAUAUUUUGGUUUUGGGUUAGAAAGUUGAUUUAUAUUUUUGACAUAAAUUCCUUGUAAAAACCGCAACCUAUAUAGUGCAUUUGCUUUCUGGGUUGGAAGGACACUGGAUGUAGGCAUUGUUGGUCGAACCAGUAUAAAAACCAGUGUUUGAUUUUCUUUAUCCUUGCACUCUUUAUUUC
RNAcentral lists this long non-coding RNA (454 nucleotides) under Vigna radiata. RNAcentral describes it as "long non-coding RNA (VRAD_LNC014782)". The record is from RNAcentral. Lineage: Eukaryota; Viridiplantae; Streptophyta; Magnoliopsida; Fabales; Fabaceae.